GAAUAAUUAUAUUACAAUACAUAAUACAACACAAUAUACAAUACAACACAAUACACUAUACAACACAAUACACUAUACAACACAAUACACUAUACAACACAAUACACUAUACAACACAAUACACUAUACAACACAAACUUAAAUACAGAAUACACAAUAUAAAUUUGAAUUACAAUACAAUACACAUUACAACACAAUAAACAAUACACAAUACAACACAUUUCAAUAACAAUACAAAUUUCAAUGACAAAUACAAAUUUCAAUGACAAAUACAAAUUUCAAUUACAAUACAAAUUUUUAUAACAAUACAAAUUUCAAGUACUGAGACUAUCUAACACAUAAACGGCACUAUCCUUUUUCGUUUGCAGAGAUGUAAUCCAAUGAGAUUUUCCGGUAUGGUGAAUUUGCACACAUGGUGUAUCUUGACUGAUGAAUGUCCCGAAAUUUUCUGUCCAACACUGUUUAUCUUCAUCGAAAAGAGGCGCUAAACCUGUUCGUUGUAAUCAAGAUAUAAGUGGGAAUUGUUUCGCUAUUAUAUUCAUGCUCACAUUUAUAAUUUCGGAACAUAGCCAUGAAUUAUUUUCCAACAUAAGUUUGUGUUCUGAAUUUAAACUGGCUACCCAAGGUGUACAAUGUAUGGUUUGAACUCUUAGCGUUUGUU
RNAcentral lists this long non-coding RNA (661 nucleotides) under Mytilus galloprovincialis (Mediterranean mussel). The record is from RNAcentral. Lineage: Eukaryota; Metazoa; Mollusca; Bivalvia; Mytilida; Mytilidae.